RNAcentral lists this long non-coding RNA (201 nucleotides) under Elaeis guineensis (African oil palm). RNAcentral describes it as "long non-coding RNA (EGUI_LNC014898)". The record is from RNAcentral. Lineage: Eukaryota; Viridiplantae; Streptophyta; Magnoliopsida; Arecales; Arecaceae.
ACCUAACUUGGAAGUGUUUCAAGUGUGAAAGGACUCCUCCAUGCCACCUGAUGUCCACACCAAAAAUAAAUGCCGCUCAUUCCUUUCAUGUGUUAAGGAAGAGGAGAGUCCUUCUUCUUUAAGGCUCUUGACAUCUCUUCAUUCUUCACCAGUUACCUUAAUUAUCACAUGCCAGAAUUUAGUAUGAAAAUUAUGGGGCUU